Anas platyrhynchos (mallard) is the source of this 1628-nucleotide long non-coding RNA. RefSeq lists it as uncharacterized. The record is from RefSeq and is a predicted model, not a curated record. NCBI's taxonomy places the organism in Eukaryota, Metazoa, Chordata, Aves, Anseriformes, Anatidae.
AUUUUUUUUUCCUUUUUGCCUUUGCUAUAAUUUCCCACAUAUGCAUUGACUAUUUAUCACUCAUAAACACUGAAAUAACUAGUUCAGAAUGGAUUGCUUCAAGAGUUUCCCUUUCCGAAUGUUUAUGAACAUGGAUUCUUCAGAGAAACUUCAAGAACUUUAAGUGAAGAGGGCAGUUCUGCUAAGUGACGAUCUGAAUCACCUUCUGCUCUCAGGUAGCUAAAAGGAAAAAUCAAAACCAUAGAAUCAAAGAAUCACAGAAUGCUUAAGGUUUCAACAGAAGGUUGGAAGAGACCUCUGGAGUCACCUGGUCCAAUUUCACUGCUGAAGCAGGGCUACCCAGUGCAGGUUGCACAGGACCACAUCCAGGUGGCUUUUGGAGAUUUCCACGGAGGAGACCUCACAGGCUCUGGGCAGCCUGUGCAGUGCUGCCUGGGGUUGAUACACUGUAUAUGUAAAUCCUUCAUCUUUAUCUGGUAUCAUGACACUUUCUUUCUAAACUCCCUCAUGCCACCUCCCUGUAAAAUCACAGAGGGAGCACACCAUAUUUUCCUGGGAACAUUUUCUGUUCAAUAUGCUAGCUCUGAGGCAGUAUUAAUAAAUAGGGUUCCAAGUCAGCCAUGAAUUCCUCACAUAUCCCAAUAGCAUUUGCAGCUUACAGGGCUUUAAAAGCUUUGAUGCUUCAUCAGUUUGGAAACAUUAUUUGAAAAAGCUUGGUAGCUCAGUGCUGCUGAGCUAAAAGGCCAAAGACUGGACUGGUACAAACUGAAACAAUUUACUGAUUUCUGGGAAACAACAGGGAUUUAUACCAGAAAAGCCAGCCCAAAAAGGUAAUAUAAGCGCAGAGGUGAGUUAAAACAAUUGUUAAACAGGAUGCUUCAUGUUGUUACCUAAAUCAUUUUUUUUUUGUUUGCUUUGUUUUGUUUUCUGAACAGAGGCAUGCCACCAUAGCUGAAAUUUUAAGACACACUCUCCUGCCAGGAUUUUGGGAAUCAACAACAGCAUGGCAGCAGGUGGCCAUACUGUGGUUUCUGGAUAGUUCCUUCAACAGCAAAGCCACAUACAAGCUUUAGACUGCAGUGAUUUUUAUUAUUUUUUUUUAUUUCUGACCUUUGGGCUGACUUUUUUUUUUUAAGUGAGCCAAAGAGAAAUCCUGAAGAGACAUGCUGGUGUUAGAAAGAGAAGAGAUAUUGUGCCUCUACUGCAGUUGUGUCAAGAAAAGCUUUCUAUAGCUUUAAUGAAGAAGGUGGUCUCUGGUAAUUCUCUCUCCUUGUGUUGGUAGCUGUAGCCUUACUUAUUUAUUCAAGGAAAAAGAAGAAUUCUGUGGAAAAAUUCUAGACAAAACUUCUGUUCUACUAUAAGUCAGUUCUUACAUGACGAGAUUAUUUCUAUCUUCAUAUCCUUUCCUGACAUAAGUAUAAAUAAACAAAAUAAACAAACAACCCCUGUUAUUUGACAAAAGUCAAAUAACCAACAGAAAACAUCAGAAAUUCCUCAGAGAAUGACUUAUUUUUUCUGCUUGCAAGUCCAAUAAUUCCUCAACUCAUAAUAUUGUUGGACAGGACAACUACUUGUAAACCAUAUCUGAAGAGUUCUUGCUUUUAAGAUUUCCAGAAUCAAAGGUUCAA